Long non-coding RNA from Gadus morhua (Atlantic cod), 759 nucleotides. RefSeq lists it as uncharacterized. Lineage: Eukaryota; Metazoa; Chordata; Actinopteri; Gadiformes; Gadidae. The record is from RefSeq and is a predicted model, not a curated record. The transcript has 3 exons.
CCUUCCCUAUUUCUCUCUCUCUCCCUCUGUCUCUCCUCUCCCUCCCUACUUUAUCCCUCUCUCCUUCCUCCCUAUUUCUGCUCACUGCAACACGUCCUUCCCUUGUUCCCUCCCUAAUUUAGCCCUCUUCUCUGUAUCCUGUUCUACUGUCUUCUCUUACUUCAAUUUGAAAACAUCAAAGGGCCCUUAUGACCACCAGGUGUGACGUUGGUGUGAGGCCAGAUGUACGAUGGAUAAUUCAGCCCGCCAGUUGUUCCAGUCCACUUGGCGAGCUGGGAAUCCGAUCCAUCCAUCAUACGUCUAGGGUUUUCAUUGGCUGGUAAUGGACGUUCAGAAUCACACCUGGUGGUAAAAUAGAGGCCGUUUAAUGAUGGACGUCCAGACCACACAGGAGCGGCGUCUGUGAGGUCAUCCUUCAGCGGCGAUGGCAGACGCCUGCUACGUUGGUGUAGCAGCCGGCUGAUGGAUUGGACUGCCGCCCGGAGAGAGCGCCUUCGGAGAACACGCUGGUGCGUCGCGGUCUCCGGGCCGUAUGGGCCUCUGCCAGACGUCUGUACGCCUGGUCAUUGGUUGACGUUGUUCUAGUGGUAAUAGGUCAAGGGGAGCAUAAAGGUGUGCCAAACCAGGAGAAGGAGUGCCCGGUGCUUGCGCAUACCAUCAUUGACGACAACGAAACCAGAAACACCAACACUUAGAACCACUUAGAACCACAGUUUAUCGUACUUUUUACUGCUUGAUUGUUCAACACAAUAAAUCAUC